This 260-nucleotide ribosomal RNA is filed under the name Curtobacterium sp. C2H10. RNAcentral describes it as "partial 16S ribosomal RNA". It matches the Rfam family "Bacterial small subunit ribosomal RNA", at positions 1 to 259 of the family's 1533-position model. The record is from RNAcentral. Lineage: Bacteria; Bacillati; Actinomycetota; Actinomycetes; Micrococcales; Microbacteriaceae.
UUUUACGGAGAGUUUGAUCCUGGCUCAGGACGAACGCUGGCGGCGUGCUUAACACAUGCAAGUCGAACGAUGAUGCCCAGCUUGCUGGGUGGAUUAGUGGCGAACGGGUGAGUAACACGUGAGUAACCUGCCCCUGACUCUGGGAUAAGCGUUGGAAACGACGUCUAAUACUGGAUAUGAUCACCGGCCGCAUGGUCUGGUGGUGGAAAGAUUUUUUGGUUGGGGAUGGACUCGCGGCCUAUCAGCUUGUUGGUGAGGUA